ACGGAGGGCGCAAGCGUUAAUCGGAAUCACUGGGCGUAAAGCGCGCGUAGGCCGCUUUGUAAGUCGGACGUGAAAGCCCUCGGCUCAACCGGGGAACUGCGUUCGAUACUGCGAGGCUUGAGUCCUGGAGAGGGUGGCGGAAUUCCGGGUGUAGGAGUGAAAUCCGUAGAUAUCCGGAGGAACACCGGUGGCGAAGGCGGCCACCUGGACAGGUACUGACGCUGAGGCGCGAAAGCGUGGGGAGCAAACAG
Molecule: ribosomal RNA, 251 nt
Filed under: uncultured prokaryote
Description: partial 16S ribosomal RNA
Rfam family: Bacterial small subunit ribosomal RNA
Source: RNAcentral